UGGGGAAUCUUGCACAAUGGGGGCAACCCUGAUGCAGCGACGCCGCGUGAGCGAUGAAGCCCUUCGGGGCGUAAAGCUCUUUCGACCGGAACGAUAAUGACGGUACCGGGAGAAGAAGCUGCGGCUAACUACGUGCCAGCAGUCGCGGUAAUACGUAGGCAGCAAGCGUUGUUCGGAGUUACUGGGCGUAAAGAGUGCGUAGGCGGUUUUCUAAGUUCGGUGUGAAAUCUCCCGGCUUAACUGGGAGGGUGCGCCGAAGACUGGGAAGCUGGAGUGUGGGAAAGGCAGGCGGAAUUCCUGGUGUAGCGGUGAAAUGCGUAGAUAUCAGGAGGAACACCGGCGGUGUAGACGGCUUGCUAGACCAUAACUGACGCUGAGGCACGAAAGCGUGGGUAGCAAACA
This 402-nucleotide ribosomal RNA is filed under the name uncultured bacterium. RNAcentral's name for it is "bacterial SSU rRNA". It matches the Rfam family "Bacterial small subunit ribosomal RNA", at positions 355 to 774 of the family's 1533-position model. The record is from RNAcentral.